CUUCUCUCCACUACUACUGUCCCCCUCUCCACCUCUUCUCUCCACUACUACUGUCCCCCUCUCCACCUCUUCUCCACUUCUUCUCUCUUUCUGUGUCUCCCUUGUUCAUCUUGUCAGGUCAGUGUGGAUGUGAGAUGGGUUGUGGAUAUUCCUCAACUACCAGCACGGCUGGAGGAGGUCCAGCCGAAGCCUCCAAAGAAGAAGUCACAGAGGAGUCUGCACAAGAAGAAGAAAAAGGAUGAACUAUGGAGGUGUGUAUGUGGGACUACCAGCAGACCUGAGCAUUAUGCCUCCUAUCCAGAUGGGAACACACCAAGAUGAGUGAAGCAUCAUUGAAACACCUUUAACUAAAGGUAUGAUGUCAACAGCCCCGAUCUCAAUAUCAGAUGUCAAUAUCCUAUGUUAAACUCUCUGCCUCAAUCUCAGAAGUUCAUCUUUUGGGACUCUCACACCCACUACAGAGAGAGAACCUUCAGGAUAAUGAUGAUGUCAGCAAGAAUGAAGGAAGGAAUUGUUCUCUUUGAUCUCUGAUUGGCUCCGUGGGACCCAGUAGAACCCCUGGGGGACCAAUCAUCUCCCUCUCUUGCGCCAUAGGAACUGAACUGGGAUCAGUUUCUAAGGUGAGUAAUCAGACAAUGGGUCAUAUGCUCACCAUGGAUGUGACUGCUCAGGAAUCAGCGUUGUGUUUAAUAAGCACAAAACAGAAGAAAAAAGUCUAAAACUAAAUGAAAGGGAGAGGUACUUAUCCAAUAAGAAAUACUUGUUUUCAUUUGGGUUACACAAAAUUUGAGAACAGGCACCCUAAUGAACACGACCCAGGUCAAAGGGCAUCACGGAUGUUGGAGUCGGCAUUCACCACUCAGGAUCAUGAGACAAGACAACCUUCUACUCAGAACUAAAUGUCAGACGGGAUCAGAUAGGCCUAUUCAGAUCUCAGCAAUACCAGGAAACAAAACAAGACCUCUCUCAGAACUCCUAUUCAAAUAUUUCUUGAUUUUCUCUCUCUGUCUCUGAGUCAAUAGUUCUCAGAAAUUCUCUCUAUAGGAGCUGGAUCAAAUGUUCCCCAUUGUAUCAUUGGUUGAAUAGAGAAGAAUCUUUCUUCACUCAAUAUGUAGCAUAUGUAUUUGGAGCAUCAAUAUGUAGCAUAUGUAUUUGGAGCAUCAAUAUGUAGCAUAUGUAUUUGGAGCAUCAAUAUGUAGGCAUAUGUAUUUGGAGCAUCAAUAUGUAGCAUAUGUAUUUGGAGCAUCAAUAUGUAUUUGGAGCAUCAAUAUGUAUUUGGAGCAUCAAUAUGUAGCAUAUGUAUUUGGAGCAUCAAUAUGUAUUUGGAGCAUCAAUAUGUAGCAUAUGUAUUUGGAUCAUCAAUAUGUAUUUGGAGCAUCAAUAUGUAGCAUAUGUAUUUGGAGCAUCAAUAUGUAGCAUAUGUAUUUGGAGCAUCAAUAUGUAGCAUAUGUAUUUGGAGCAUCAAUAUGUAGCAUAAUUAUUUGGAGCAUCAAUAUGUAGCAUAUGUAUUUGGCGCAUCAAUAUGUAGCAUAUGUAUUUGGAGCAUCAAUAUGUAGGCAUAUGUAUUUGGAGCAUCAAUAUGUAGGCAUAUGUAUUUGGAGCAUCAAUAUGUAGCAUAUGUAUUUGGAGCAUCAAUAUGUAGCAUAUGUAUUUGGAGCAUCAAUAUGUAGCAUAUGUAUUUGGAGCAUCAAUAUGUAGCAUAUGUAUUUGGAGCAUCAAUAUGUAGCAUAUGUAUUUGGAGCAUCAAUAUGUAGCAUAUGUAUUUGGAGCAUCAAUAUGUAGCAUAUGUAUUUGGAGCAUCAAUAUGUAGCAUAUGUAUUUGGAGCAUCAAUAUGUAUUUGGAGCAUCAAUAUGUAUUUGGAGCAUCAAUAUGUAGCAUUUGUAUUUGGAGCAUCAAUAUGUAUUUGGAGCAUCAAUAUGUAGCAUAUGUAUUUGGAGCAUCAAUAUGUAGCAUAUGUAUUUGGAGCAUCAAUAUGUAGCAUAUGUAUUUGGAGCAUCAAUAUGUAGCAUAUGUAUUUGGAGCAUCCACGUUUUCUUUUCUUGAAUGUAUUCCAACAUGUUAAAUAUUUUUACAACAAAGUUUCCACAUUCUUAAAUAAAUCUCAUGGAAAUGCA
Oncorhynchus tshawytscha (Chinook salmon) is the source of this 2115-nucleotide long non-coding RNA. RefSeq lists it as uncharacterized. The transcript has 5 exons. The record is from RefSeq and is a predicted model, not a curated record. NCBI's taxonomy places the organism in Eukaryota, Metazoa, Chordata, Actinopteri, Salmoniformes, Salmonidae.